Molecule: unclassified non-coding RNA, 337 nt
Filed under: soil metagenome
Description: partial contains 5.8S ribosomal RNA, internal transcribed spacer 2, and large subunit ribosomal RNA
Rfam family: 5.8S ribosomal RNA (bases 1-120)
Source: RNAcentral
GAUGAAGAACGCAGCGAAAUGCGAUAAGUAAUGUGAAUUGCAGAAUUCCGUGAAUCAUCGAAUCUUUGAACGCACAUUGCGCCCCCUGACAUUCCGGGGGGCAUGCCUGUCCGAGCGUCAUUUCUGCCCUCAAGCACGGCUUGUGUGUUGGGUGUGGUCCCCCCGGGGACCUGCCCGAAAGGCAGCGGCGACGUCCGUCUGGUCCUCGAGCGUAUGGGGCUCUGUCACUCGCUCGGGAAGGACCUGCGGGGGUUGGUCACCACCAUGUUUUACCACGGUUGACCUCGGAUCAGGUAGGAGUUACCCGCUGAACUUAAGCAUAUCAAUAAGCGGAGGA